GAUGAACGCUGGCGGCGUGCCUAAUACAUGCAAGUCGAGCGAACGGACGAGAAGCUUGCUUCUCUGAUGUUAGCGGCGGACGGGUGAGUAACACGUGGAUAACCUACCUAUAAGACUGGGAUAACUUCGGGAAACCGGAGCUAAUACCGGAUAAUAUUUUGAACCGCAUAGUUCAAAAGUGAAAGACGGUCUUGCUGUCACUUAUAGAUGGAUCCGCGCUGCAUUAGCUAGUUGGUAAGGUAACGGCUUACCAAGGCAACGAUGCAUAGCCGACCUGAGAGGGGGAUCGGCCACCCUGGAACUGAGACACGGUCCAGACGCCUACGGGAGGCAGCAGUAGGGAAUCUUCCGCAAUGGGCGAAAGCCUGACGGAGCAACGCCGCGUGAGUGAUGAAGGUCUUCGGAUCGUAAAACUCUGUUAUUAGGGAAGAACAUAUGUGUAAGUAACUGUGCACAUCUUGACGGUACCUAAUCAGAAAGCCACGGCUAACUACGUG
Molecule: ribosomal RNA, 497 nt
Filed under: uncultured bacterium
Lineage: Bacteria
Description: partial 16S ribosomal RNA
Rfam family: Bacterial small subunit ribosomal RNA
Source: RNAcentral